GCUUUCCAGUAGCUUCUUAGUAACAUUUUGUUGUUGGUGGUGGUGGUAGUCGAUUUUAGAAUCUUCUUAUGAGGUUCUGAAUUCUAAGGCAAAAUGUAAUCCCAAACUAGUAUCUCCAGGAGAAAUACACUGAGGAAGAUAAAUUUUGCAUAGUUUCAACUCAAAAUAAAAACGGUGCUUUAGAAGAUUAAUAUUAAUGUAGCCUAAUGAAUUGCUAGCACAUUGGGAAAACUGUAUUAACAGAGGUACAAGCAUGUAGUGACUGAUAUGCACACAUGUACUGAGGGUGGACGGAGAGAAGAAGCAAGUGCACGGUUCUGAUUUGACAGUGGUUGUUAACUGCAUGUUUGGCUGGGUCAUUUCACUCAGUGAAAGCCCCGAGUAUCGUCCUGCUCUCCAGGAGGGAGGCAUCCUGCCCAGGGUCAUGUGACUUACUGUGGACCAAUGGAAUAUUGACAAAUGUGACACAGCAGAGACUUGAAAAAGGCUUGUGUGAUUGUGCACCUCACCAUGACAAGGACAUGCCUGAGCUAUCUUGCUAGAGAAUAAACUUGCUGGGGGAUAUGUGAAGCAGAGCCAAACCUCUUUGGUCAUCCCAGGCAAGGCCAUCUACAAUCAGCAGAGCUAUAGAACUGACCUGCAGCUGAUGUACACAGAAAUCUGCUGUUAACCACAGACAUCAUAAUCACAAGCUAACAAUGUCAAAAGAGUAUGCUGCCAAGACCUCUGCCAUAGUUAACAUCUAAAACCUCCACAAAGAAAAGCUCUGCAUUUUUUACAAAAUUGAC
Long non-coding RNA from Symphalangus syndactylus (siamang), 788 nucleotides. RefSeq lists it as uncharacterized. NCBI's taxonomy places the organism in Eukaryota, Metazoa, Chordata, Mammalia, Primates, Hylobatidae. The record is from RefSeq and is a predicted model, not a curated record.